GAGAAAGCGUGAGGUACGUUCUGUGAGGAAAGAUGUUCUGAGAUAUAAAAAAGUGAGGAAAAAGCGAGAGGGACGUUCUGUGAGGAGAGACGUUCUCAGAUAUAAAAAAGUGAAGAAAAAGCGAAAGAGGGACGUUCUGAGGAGAAAAAGUCUGAAGAGAGAAAAAGUGUGAAAAGAAAAAGUCCGAGGAGAAAAAGUGAGGAGAGAAAGAAGGGGAAAAAAGCGUUCUGAAGAGAAAAAGUGAGGAGAGGAAAAGCGAAAGGAAAGAGGAAAAAGCAAAGGGCAAGAGAAGCGACCAAGAAGCGGGUUUCUGACCAGCGCCGACGAGACAAUUCGCCCUUCCGUGUGCUUCGGCAAGCAAGCGUGUGGUGCGCGUGUGGGAGUGAGCAGCGCCGCCAACAAGGGAGGCACGGGUCGGUCACCAACAACACCAUGGUCUAAACCCGCGACGGACCAACAACACUAUGGUCUAAACCCACGACGGACGAUCUCGGUGCCCUCCAUACUUUGACUGGCGCUCAAGGCUGCCCCGCGAGAGGGUGCACGGCAAAGCUGGGUGCUGGCGACGGACGUGACACGCACGCACGCAUUUUCAGGACGUUUUCGCUUCACGGACUAUUUUCUGGCCAAUGACAGCCGAGCAAUGUGGUACCAGUGGCAUCAUGGAUUGAGGGUGAACGCAAAGCAGAUAAAAGGGGAGAGCAAACCACAGAGGAGGAGAUGCUCCGGAACCUGAUGAGGGAAAGCUAUGCACAGUCUCUUGGGGUUUCUUCGUGGACAUGUGAGCUGGUUUUAGACUGUCGUGAGACAACUGCCAAGGGCCCUGCAGUUGUUACGAGUGCAUAUGUGGAGAGACAAGGUUGUCCUGAAAAGAGGAAGUUCACACCGUAUUUAAUAAUCGCUUCUGUUUGAACCUUGAAAUCCUGCCAGGAGUUUGGAGUUUUAAAACAGAGUCGAGGCUCAUGGAGUAACUACAACACAGAAUGGACCAGGACAUAACAGAACAAAAAGAAAGGGUGGGGGAGGGGGGGGUUGGCAAUUCAACCAAUAGCAGGGUUGAAGGACAAAAAAAAAGAGAGAUUUGUGGUUGAGGGGAGGACACAGGGGUGAACAAGAUUGAUACAUCUGCAAACUCUCAAUCACACAAGUGGAAAUAAAAACGGUAAACACGUGAAAGCUGAGCUUGGGGAGGGUUAAUGGGGUAGAAAAGAUCAUGGUUGUGGAUGGGGGAUGACCUGAGGUGGUGGUGAGCAGCAAUCUUUACCCUGAGAUGGAGGAAUGAGAUUGAAGAGACUGAGGAAGUUUGUUCCACAUGUGGGGAAAAAGAGAAAAAAACGAAUAAGUGGAGUUGAGAUUAAAGCUUUAGUAUUCUGCUCAUUAAAUGUUUAAUUACUGACACAUUCAAUCAUUUUUCCAUGACAAUCAUUCUUUGUUCCUCCUUUUAAAAAAACAGGCUCACUCAAAAUGUUUUGCUUUAUUCUGUUUGAUUGUAUUAUUUGAAAUGCCCGGACGGAACAAGUUGAAAAAGCUCAGAGAAACAUUUUCGUUUCUUUCGGUUCGGGUUUGUAGGAAACUUUUGUUUUGAAUCCAAGGUACUAGAAUGCCUGGCAUACACAGGAACACCUUAAUGUAGAGGCAAAUAUUGUGGAUGGUUUCAGUGAAUGUGCAGGGUGUGCCAUAUACCAUUGAUUUAUUCGAACAUUCACAAAAGCUGGGGUUGUCGGCAUUCUCUCAUGUGUUAUUGUGUUUAUUUCAACACGCUUAACUUCUAACCUCCGUGGUUGUGCUUUUAUACUUAGUUUCGCAUUAUGUUGGUCAUGUCUGUGCUGUUCCAUGUAGUUAAAAAAUAAAAAGUUAAAAACUCU
This 1865-nucleotide long non-coding RNA is filed under the name Eptatretus burgeri (inshore hagfish). Its description in RNAcentral is "lncRNA (ENSEBUG00000017509.1)". Lineage: Eukaryota; Metazoa; Chordata; Myxini; Myxiniformes; Myxinidae. The record is from RNAcentral.